AACGCACCUUGCGCUCCCUGGUAUUCCUAGGAGCAUGCCUGUUUGAGUGUCAUGAAUCCCUCAAAUCCCAAUGUUUUGUAAAAAGCGCUGCUUGGAUUUGGUUGUGGGCCCUUGCAGUCUGUCACGAGUCUGCUGGCCUUAAAGAUAUUAGCUGGACCUCUCUAAUCUCUUAGCAGAGUACUUCCAUUUGAUGUAAUAAAAUUGCAUUGGUGGAAGCUCUACUAAGUACAUAGAGCAAGUCUGCUUCUUAACCCGGCGCGAGUGGCAACACUCAACCCACUAUUUCAUAACUCUGGCCUCAAAUCAGGUAGGACUACCCGCUGAACUUAA
RNAcentral lists this unclassified non-coding RNA (330 nucleotides) under uncultured fungus. Its description in RNAcentral is "partial contains 5.8S ribosomal RNA, internal transcribed spacer 2, and large subunit ribosomal RNA". Lineage: Eukaryota; Fungi. The record is from RNAcentral.